CAAUAGCGUAUAUUAUUGAUGUGAUAGUGUUUUCAGCACAGAUCAUGCAAACCAACACCAUAUGUUUCAUAUGGUUGUUUGAUUUGCAUCUUACUUUGAGUGAAUCGGCGUGUUCCACGCAGGCAUGUGCCUUGAACGAUUUACCAUAGCAUAAAUAGAGUAUGGAAGUAUUUGUUUGCUUGUUCACGGAUAUUUCUGAUACUGACAAGAACGGUUGAGGGCAUUCGUAUUCAACUGCUAGAGGUGAAAUUCUUUGAUUAGUUGAGGACGAACUAUUGCGAAAGCAUCUGCCAUGGACGUUUCUUUUG
This 308-nucleotide ribosomal RNA is filed under the name uncultured eukaryote. Its description in RNAcentral is "partial 18S ribosomal RNA". It matches the Rfam family "Eukaryotic small subunit ribosomal RNA", at positions 662 to 975 of the family's 1831-position model. The record is from RNAcentral.